GUCGAUCUAUGGUCUCCUCUCAGAAGUACAGGGAUCUGAAAUCAGUGUUCUCUGGGCUCUCUACCAAAUCCUGAAGAAGCCAGAGUUUGUCAUAGUGUUUCAGUUUCAGCUGGUAACUCCUGACAGAGCCUGGACUCUUGGUCACCACCUAAUUUUCCCUCCCUCUCCUGUUCUCAAGUGGGUCUUCUCAGGACAACCAGUCUCUCUCAGCUUCUGUUCCCACAGAACUGGGGUUGGCCUGAGGAACACAAACAGCCACCAUUUUCCUGCACCUAUCCUGGAUUCUGAGAAAUUCAAUUUUGGAAGUAUUGUUUAAAACUCUAGCCCUGUUCUUCAGGCAGCCCUGACCUGGAAAGAUUUGUUUAACUAUUAACUAUUUCCUGGGAAUGGGAAGACCUUAGCCAAUGCGCGUUCUCUCUCUCUCUCUCUCUCUCUCUCUCUCUCUCUCUCUCUCUCUCUCUGUCUCUUCCUCCCUUCUUUCUUUCCUCCCUCCCUCCCUCCCU
Molecule: long non-coding RNA, 503 nt
Filed under: Rattus norvegicus (Norway rat)
Lineage: Eukaryota; Metazoa; Chordata; Mammalia; Rodentia; Muridae
Description: long non-coding RNA NONRATT008471
Source: RNAcentral